AUUGAACGCUGGCGACAUGCCUUACACAUGCCAGUCGAACGGCAGCACGGGUGCUUGCACCUGGUGGCGAGUGGCGAACGGGUGAGUAAUACAUCGGAACAUGUCCUGUAGUGGGGGAUAGCCCGGCGAAAGCCGGAUUAAUACCGCCUACGAUCUACGGAUGAAAGCGGGGGACCUUCGGGCCUCGCGCUAUAGGGUUGGCCGAUGGCUGAUUAGCUAGUUGGUGGGGUAAAGGCCUACCAAGGCGACGAUCAGUAGCUGGUCUGAGAGGACGACCAGCCACACGGGGACUGAGCCACGGCCCAGACUCCUACGGGAGGCAGCAGUGGGGAAUUUUGGACAAUGGGCGAAAGCCUGAUCCAGCAAUGCCGCGUGUGUGAAGAAGGCCUUCGGGUUGUAAAGCACUUUUGUCCGGAAAGAAAUCCUUGGCCCUAAUACGGUCGGGGGAUGACGGUACCGGAAGAAUAAGCACCGGCUAACUACGUG
Molecule: ribosomal RNA, 486 nt
Filed under: uncultured bacterium
Lineage: Bacteria
Description: partial 16S ribosomal RNA
Rfam family: Bacterial small subunit ribosomal RNA
Source: RNAcentral